AGUGAACGCUGGCGGCGUGCUUAACACGUGCAAGUCGAACGAGAACGGGUUAUAGCUUGCUAUAAUUGUCAGCUAAGUGGCGCACGGGUGAGUAAUGUAUAGGUAAUAUGCCUCUUACUAAGGGAUAACAGAUGGAAACGUUUGCUAAUACCUUAUACUCCUUAUUAACAUAAGUUAAUAAGGGAAAGAUUUAUUGGUAAGAGAUUAGCCUGUAUUGUAUCAGUUAGUUGGUGGGAUAAUGGCUUACCAAGACUAUGACACAUAACUGGUUUGAGAGGAUGAUCAGUCACACUGGAACUGAGACACGGUCCAGACUCCUACGGGAGGCAGCAGUGGGGAAUAUUGCACAAUGGACGAAAGUCUGAUGCAGCAACGCCGCGUGGAGGAUGACACAUUUCGGUGCGUAAACUCCCUUUAUAUGAGAAGAUAAUGACGGUAUUAUAUGAAUAAGCACCGGCUAACUCUGUGCCAGCCGCCGCAGUAA
RNAcentral lists this ribosomal RNA (484 nucleotides) under uncultured bacterium. RNAcentral describes it as "partial 16S ribosomal RNA". It matches the Rfam family "Bacterial small subunit ribosomal RNA", at positions 29 to 523 of the family's 1533-position model. The record is from RNAcentral.